This 69-nucleotide transfer RNA is filed under the name Marmota monax (woodchuck). RNAcentral's name for it is "tRNA.Ala". Lineage: Eukaryota; Metazoa; Chordata; Mammalia; Rodentia; Sciuridae. The record is from RNAcentral.
UGGAUAUAGCUCAGUUGAUAGAGUGCUUGUGUUGCAUGCACAAGGCCCUGGGUUCAAUCCCCGGUACAA